RNAcentral lists this ribosomal RNA (468 nucleotides) under uncultured bacterium. RNAcentral's name for it is "partial 16S ribosomal RNA". It matches the Rfam family "Bacterial small subunit ribosomal RNA", at positions 28 to 507 of the family's 1533-position model. The record is from RNAcentral.
GACGAACGCUGGCGGCGUGCUUAACACAUGCAAGUCGGACGGAAAGGCCCUGCUUUUGUGGGGUGCUCGAGUGGCGAACGGGUGAGUAACACGUGAGUAACCUGCCCUUGACUUUGGGAUAACUUCAGGAAACUGGGGCUAAUACCGGAUAGGAGCUCCUGCUGCAUGGUGGGGGUUGGAAAGUUUCGGCGGUUGGGGAUGGACUCGCGGCUUAUCAGCUUGUUGGUGGGGUAGUGGCUUACCAAGGCUUUGACGGGUAGCCGGCCUGAGAGGGUGACCGGCCACAUUGGGACUGAGAUACGGCCCAGACUCCUACGGGAGGCAGCAGUGGGAAAUAUUGCACAAUGGGCGGAAGCCUGAUGCAGCAACGCCGCGUGCGGGAUGACGGCCUUCGGGUUGUAAACCGCUUUCGCCUGUGACGAAGCGUGAGUGACGGUAAUGGGUAAAGAAGCACCGGCUAACUACGUG